CGCGUAGGCGGUUUCGGAAGUCAUGGGUGAAAGUCCUCGGCUCAACCGAGGGAUUGCCUGUGAAACCACGGGACUGGAGUGCUGGAGAGGGAAGUGGAAUUCCCAGUGUAGCGGUGAAAUGCGUAGAUAUUGGGAGGAACACCUGUGGCGAAGGCGGCUUCCUGGACAGACACUGACGCUGAGGCGCGAAAGCCAGGGGAGCGAACG
Molecule: ribosomal RNA, 207 nt
Filed under: uncultured bacterium
Lineage: Bacteria
Description: partial 16S ribosomal RNA
Rfam family: Bacterial small subunit ribosomal RNA
Source: RNAcentral